UAAGGGCGCACGGUGGAUGCCUUGGCACUAGAAGCCGAUGAAGGACGUUACUAACGACGAUAUGCUUUGGGGAGCUGUAAGUAAGCUUUGAUCCAGAGAUUUCCGAAUGGGGAAACCCAGCAUGAGUUAUGUCAUGUUAUCGAUAUGUGAAUACAUAGCAUAUCAGAAGGCACACCCGGAGAACUGAAACAUCUUAGUACCCGGAGGAAGAGAAAGAAAAUUCGAUUCCCUUAGUAGCGGCGAGCGAAACGGGAAGAGCCCAAACCAACAAGCUUGCUUGUUGGGGUUGUAGGACACUCUAUACGGAGUUACAA
This 314-nucleotide ribosomal RNA is filed under the name Staphylococcus aureus. Its description in RNAcentral is "partial 23S ribosomal RNA". It matches the Rfam family "Bacterial large subunit ribosomal RNA", at positions 12 to 325 of the family's 2925-position model. Lineage: Bacteria; Bacillati; Bacillota; Bacilli; Caryophanales; Staphylococcaceae. The record is from RNAcentral.